CCUUGCACUACAUGCAUUUUAUGCGCACCCUAAUUAAAACUCACCUCAACACAGCUUUGCCCAACAACUCCACAAACAACCAAAGCAGAUCACGCGAAAACAUGCACUGCCUAACUGCGCGGGCGACAGUUAUUUUUCAUUGAGUAAACAAGAGCGCGUGCAAAGCAAUUGAAAGUGAAAAUGUGUUAAUAAAAUGUGUAUAAUACUAAAAUUAUAAAAGUGUUUAAAUAAAUUAAAACAAAAUAUAUAAUUUCGGAGUAAAAAAGUGAAAGGUGUGAAAUAAUAAGUGCAAAAAGUGUAUGUGUGUAAGUGUAAUGAGAAAAGUGUUUGAAAUUAUGUAAAAAGCAAGUCCAAUGGCUUAUUGGAAAUUCAGUAAUGAAAAUAUUAAAAUUAGUGUAAUAUUUAAAUCUAAUAAGUGCAGUAUGUGUGAAGUGUAGUGCUAUUUGUGCGUUGAUUUGGUAUAAAUACCAUAAUGGUACUUAUGUGUUCAUAAAAAUAAGUCGAUUUCCACUUCUUACCGCAAAUAUGGUAGUUAUUGAAUUGAAAACAAUAAUUGAAAGCGUUUUUGUUUUAAGUUUAUUUAUACAUACCUGUGUAUUGAAUUACAUAAAAAAGUUGUAAAAGGUGACUGAAAUUCAAACACGAUAUGUUUAUGGUGACCAGAUUACUUGUCGGAUCAACGCGUAGAUAAGUGUUUCCUCAGUGGUGGGCGGAAAAACACACUCAUAUAAACGUUCAAUAAUUGAGACAAAGAAAGAUAAAUGAUAAGAGCUACGUAGGGAUAUAAACAAGAAUCCAUGGGGCUAAUGCAUAUCGCAAAAUGUGUCAAUAUAAUCGACACACUAGAAAGUCCUUUCAAAAUGCCCCUCUAUUUGAUGAAAAUGAUAUGAAGCUAUCUUAAACUUAAAGACAGGGAACUGCUAUACGAUACACGUGACGAUCCCCAAAGUAAGGAAAUAACCCCCGGAGCAGCACAGCGUUCAAUACUCGGCCCAGAUCAAUGGAAUGCCUGCUACGACGGAAUUUAAAACAUCCAAAUGCUAGACGACUGAUAACUUGUUGGCUAUGCAGACGACAUCGCUGUCAGAUGCAAACUAACGCAAGUUAUGCUCCGUACACAUACAUUACUGUACUCACACGGCCUAGCCCCAGAAAAAACUGAAACACAUCCUGCUGGAUGCAAGUGCACUCAGAAACCAUCAGAACGACGAAAACCCUAAAAUACGUAGGAAUAUGAGGGGACAACAAACUGCCGUACUGGGUCCAAAUUCAACAUGCUGCAACAUAGUCAGCCAAUAUAAAUAUGUCGGUAGCAAGACUUAUUGCAAAUACCGGUGGCCCGCUUGCAAGUAGAAGGAAUUACUCAUACAGUAGCGAAAUAGGAUCGAUACAUUUUAUGUUAAACAGAUUUACUCGUAGAGGAGAAAAGACAACUCCGGUUACGAUAGAACGAUGAAAAAGAACUUCAUAUGCUCACAAGACUACCAGCAAGGAAGCAAACACUCGAACUCUGGCAUGAUCGAUGGAGAAGGGAGCGCAAAGGAAGAUGGUCAAAGCCAUAGAUAUAUGGCACAGUAGAAAACACGGCGAGGUGAACUGCUACUUAACACAGAUGCUCUCCGGACACGGAGAAGGAGAACUAAAUACGGAAAACCUAUUAGAAAAAAUUAUAGCUAGCGGCGAAAACUGACAGCAAAUUGCCUAAUACUUGAAAUAUGUACUACGCACUAAGAAAAUGAACAUGGAGAGGUAGAGAUUCUCUGCUAUAUCUCUGCUAUCAACACGGCGAUUUUCAAGCACUGUUUCUUUAAACUUUUCAAUGUUAUCGUCAUUAAGCGAGGUGGUUUUUAAUUACUUAACUGAAUGCUUUCUGCCCCUCAAAUUAUAUAUAGCUGUGAUUCCAUUGGAAACAAAAUAUUUCAAGCAAAUUCCUUGUUACAUCUUUUUUGUUGGUAAAAAUCCGCCAAACACAGACUAAUUGACAUAUGGAAAUCACACUUUACAAGAACAUAAAGAAGUUGGUAGAAGUCUAGAAAAAAAUGUUUUAUCAAUUCGAUUUGCGCGCGCAGUAUACAUGGUGGUGCAUGUUCGGGCUAGAUCAGAUGGUAUUAUUUCAUGCAAGCGAUAGUUUGAGUAAAAUUAUCGUAAACGAUAUUAGGAGUUAAAAGUGCUUGGAAAAGUAAGUGAAGAUUAAAUCCUGUCUAAAAAAUCUGUAUCAGUACUUCCCCAAUGUAACUUUAAUAAUAAUUUUCAAACUAUCACAUAAAUCGGUGAGUAUGUAAGUUGAUUUUAAAAAUUAUGAGAAAAUAUAAUGUUCGGCUACAUACCACCAUAA
Bactrocera oleae (olive fruit fly) is the source of this 2335-nucleotide non-coding RNA. Lineage: Eukaryota; Metazoa; Arthropoda; Insecta; Diptera; Tephritidae. The record is from RefSeq and is a predicted model, not a curated record.